RNAcentral lists this ribosomal RNA (460 nucleotides) under uncultured bacterium. RNAcentral's name for it is "partial 16S ribosomal RNA". It matches the Rfam family "Bacterial small subunit ribosomal RNA", at positions 338 to 795 of the family's 1533-position model. The record is from RNAcentral.
CCUACGGGUGGCAGCAGUGAGGAAUAUUGGUCAAUGGGCGCGAGCCUGAACCAGCCAAGUAGCGUGAAGGAUGACUGCCCUACGGGUUGUAAACUUCUUUUAGAAAGGAGUAAAGUGAUGCACGUGUGCCUUUUUGUAUGGACUUUAUGAAUAAGGAUCGGCUAACUCCGUGACAGCAGCCGCGGUAAUACAGCGGAUCCGAGUGGUAUCCGGAUUUAUUGGGUUUGAAGGGUGAGUAGGGGGUCGGAUAAGUUAGAGGUGAAAUCCCGAGGCUCAACCUCGGAAUUGCCUGUGAUACUGUUCGGCUAGAGAGUAGUUGCGGUAGGCGGAAUGUAUGGUGUAGCGGUGAAAUGCUUAGAGAUCAUACAGAACACCGAUUGCGAAGGCAGCUUACCAAGCUACUUCUGACGUUGAGGCACGAAAGCGUGGGGAGCAAACAGGAUUAGAUACCCGGGUAGUC